This 8251-nucleotide long non-coding RNA is filed under the name Lactuca sativa (garden lettuce). RNAcentral's name for it is "long non-coding RNA (LSAT_LNC001762)". Lineage: Eukaryota; Viridiplantae; Streptophyta; Magnoliopsida; Asterales; Asteraceae. The record is from RNAcentral.
UUAAUGGCCUAUAAAUGGAGUUUAUGAUCAUGAGUCAUGUGAUUUAAUUUCUCAACAACAUUUCAUGGAAUGUUUCAUUAUCUAUGAAAUCAAAUUUCUCCAUCAUAGUUGAUAUAGUCGUCAAUGUUUAUUUAUGACUCUCCCAUGAUGUUGGCCGACAAAUAGUAUACCAAUGUAUCCUACUAAUGACUACUUAUCUUUGCAUUUUGUAAAGACAUAGCCAAGAAACAUAUCACUUAUAUGUUAUUACUUAUUUCACUAAACAAGUUUUCCAUUAAUAGUCCCAUGAAAAUAUUAUAAAAUUUUAUUGGCAACUUCCUAGUGAUUUAGGCCAUGAUUUAAUGAUAACGACUAAGCAUGCCACCGAAAAUGUGUACCUUAAAUGUGGAAGGAACUGAAGGGAAGUAUUGUUGCAUUUUAUAUCGACUCUCAGUAUAUGUAUUUAGGGACAUGUCUAAAGCCCUUUGGAUUCCUCGAUGCAUUUAUAUGCCUAUUGCAUAUUAGGCUUCACCAAGAUCUUGUUGGAUUAGUGUCUAAGUCCAUAACUAUUUUGGUAUGUACUUGACCCGAUGGUGCAUGGUCCUUUUGGGUUGCCCUCACCAAAGCAACUUGAUAUGAUGAAUUAUGGAGAGAAAGGAUUAAAUAUGAUUUAUUAAUAUAUUAUGAGAAUAAUAUAUUAAAGGAGAAAUCAUAUUGUUUAAUUAAUAUUAGUCAAGAAUUAAUUGGUAAUUAGUUUUGUGACUAAAAAAGAUUAAUUAAACUUAAGGGACUGGAAUUGUAAUUAUAAGAUAAUUGCAAUAUGGGCUAUGGAUUGUCUUAAAUUAAGGAGUGGACGAAUUCUAUGGGAAACCCAUGGGGAAAUCGUCCAAGGCCUUAAUUAAAGGAGUCCAUGGGUUGCUUAGGGCUUAAGCAUCCAAAUUAGGUUUCCUUGUUAGAUAACCCUAAUAGCCUCCUAUAUAUAUGGAUCCCUUAUGACCCAAAAACGUGGCUAAGCAUUCCUCUAGAGUUUCACACGUUUUUGGGUAGCCUCCAUCCUCUCUCCUCUUCAUCCUCUUGCUUAUGGUGUUUGUGAACCAUUAGAGGAGUGACAUUUGUGACUCUAAGCUUUCUAAAGUCAAUACAAGGAGAUUUGGGAUUGUUAUUGCUACAUAACAAUCAAGGUAAUAUCUUAAACCUAUUCUCAUGUUAAUAUGAUUACUUGAAUGCUAGAAUUAGGGUUUAUAGUCUUGGAUAACUUGCAUGUACAAUAGAGAAACCUAGAUCCAAGCAUUAGGGUUUGUAUGAGCACAUAGGAUGUUCUUAUGACCAAAACCCAUCAGUGGUAUCAGAGCCUAGAUUGGUUUCUAUUGUAUUGAUGCUUUGUAUGUUGAAAAAAAUUGAUUUUUGUGUUUCUGGGGGCUGAACUCGCCGAGUUUUUUAAAUGAACUCGCCGAGUUCAUGCUAACUCGACGAGUCCAUGCCUGACUCGACGAGUCGGCUGGUCAGAAUGAGGGAAAACCGGGAUUUCUUGCUGUUUUUGCUUGAGGAUACUUGCCUUAUCAUAUUAGAUCAAUAUAAAUCCGAUUUUUUGAUAUAUAUGACUAUAUUCUUGAUCUAAUUGAAGAUAUUUAUCAAUUAAUAAAAUAUUUGUUUCCUUAUGUGAUAAUUGAUUAAUUAUUUUGAUUAAAUUGGUAAAUUGUUUUGCAAGAAAUCAUUAAAUAAAUCAAAUAUGGAUAAUUAUGUGAUUAAAUGUUAAUUUAGAUUAUUUGUUAUUUGAUCCUUGUGUUAUGAAAAGUUUCAUAUUUUCCCCUUUAGGUUUUAUAGUUUAAAUUUGAACCCAAAAGUUUUGUUGUUUUGAAAUUUAAAUAGUUGAAACCCUAAUGUUUUGAAAAAGGUUUCAAAACUUGCCCUCAAGUUUUGGAAUUUAAAUUUUGAUUAAUUGUUUAAUUUUGAUGUAUAUUUAAAUUCUAAACCCUAAUGUUUUGAAAUGUUUCAAAACUUGCCCUCAAGUUUUGGAAUUUAAAAGUUGAUUAAAAGUUUAAUUAGGAAUGUUAAAUUCUAAAACCCUAGUAUUGUUUUGAAAAAGUUCAAAUCACACCCUUAUGGUUUUAUUAAUUAAUUAAGGUGUAUAAUUAAAAGAGGUUUAAUAAAUCCAUAAAAGUUUUGGUUUACAAUUUAAUUGAAUUAAAAGUAUAAUUAUUAAAUUUGACCACCUAGUAUUUUAAAAGUGUAAAAUACACCCUAUACUAUAUAUAACAUUAAAAGUCUAACAUUAUAUAUAUGUAUGAGUAAAAGUCAGUCUUACCGUUAGUAGGCCUCAUUCACGAAGCUGGUCUAUAAGGGGUGUUUAAGGAAAUUGCCUAUAAAAUGGCGAUUGAAUGGGUAUCCACUCUUACCCACCGCACUCUUGACUAGUGGAGGGUCGUUAGCCGAACGGGUAGGAUAGGACGAAACCUUCCAUUAUAAGUAUAAUGAAUUAUUAAAGUAACUAAAUGUUUUCAUAAAAUUCCCAAUCUUAGUUACUUAGGCAAAAGUGAAUUGAUGCAAUUCCAUGAAAUUACACUUUGUGCCCUUGCGAAGACGUUAGUGGAGCGUGUGUGGUUUACCGGCACACUAAAUGGUUCUAAGCAAAGGUAGCAAAGGGUGACUCAAUGUUUGUCAUAGUUCGGUGGAGCGUGUGUGGUUUACCGGCACAUCGAAUAGGUGACUGUAACAUGUGAGGGCACCAUGUAAGUUUGCAUGGUUAUUCACACCCGCUUUGUGAUCCUCGGCAUCCCAGUCACAAACAAGAGGGGCAUAUCGAGAUUUAAACAUGCCAUUGAAAGUUCAAUGAAUCUCAAAGGAUCUAGGAGUUUUCAUAGAUUUAAAACUUAAAUUUCUUUUUCGUUUUUCAUGGUGGAAAUUAGUGAAUCGUCAUUCACUUACCUUCAAAUAUUCUGCAAUUAGGGUUACGGCAUCCCUCUCCCGAGUUGUAGAAUAUUGUGUUGGGUCCUAGCCUUAGUAUCUCAUUUGGGUGAUUUACUAAGGACUCAAUCAAUCAACUAACUUGAAUUCGUUUUCUCCCGUUUUGUAGAUGUCAAAGUUCGACAACUAUGGUCUUCCCAAAUCCCGUGGAACAAGCAUUCCACAUGAAGAUGAUAUUCCACGAUUCGAUCGAGGAACAAGAAAUCAUGCUUCACUUCCUCCUCCUCCUCCAAUUAUUCUCCCUAACCCACAAGUUCAAAGGCUUGAAAAGUUCAAGAUCACUCAAGCCCUUUUGGCAAGUAAACAUAAAGAAGGAAAGUCGGUGUGUGCACACGUCCUAGGGAUGAAGUCACACAUUGAUAGGUUAAGAAUGUUGGGAUCCGUUGUCUGUGAGGAAAUGGCUGUUGAUUGGGUUCUUCAGUCACUUCCUAACUCAUAUAGUGAGUUCGUAAGAGAGUACUAUAUGAUGAACCGCGACGUGACCCUUAUAGAUCUCACCUAUAUGCUUAUUGCUGCUGAAUCAGCAAUGGUUUGGCGCAAUAGAAAAGCAAAGUUGAUUGGUGAAUCUGCCUUCAAGACCUCUAUGGAUAUAGACAAUGGCAACGAAAGACAUGCUAUGAUCGAAAAGUUUGAUCAUAAGAGAAAGGCAAUGUCUGAAGUAGUUCCAUGUCAUGUUCCAAAAGAGUCAAUUUGCUUUUAUUGCCAAGAGAAAGGGCAUUGGAGACGAAGCUGCCCCAUUUACCUAAGAGAUCUAAGAGAUGGGAGAGUCGAAACGUAUGGCUCUAAUAUAGGUAAAAUCCAUUAACUAACUCUUUUAAGCUUCUAUUCUAGAUUCUUAAUACAUAAUGUGAUAAGAUUACAAUUGAUGUUUUGUAGGAUCGAAGAAAAGAAAGGAAGCUUAAGGGAAGAAGUGAGCAGAAUCUAACCGUGAAGGAAUGGAUUUCGAUCGCAUUUCUCGAAGAUUAGAUUCUUGAGCUACUACUUAGAGUUAGAAUUAGAUUGCUAAGAAAGAUGUAUUAGCAUAGUUUUUCAAUGAAUUGCAUUGUAAGGACAAAUUUUUUCCGCAAUAAAAUAAAUUUUGAUUUUAUAUUAUUUAUUUAUCCUUGCAAUGGCGUAUAUGAAAAAUUGAUGUUUGAAUGUUUCUAUUAUUAGCAAUAAUGGAUUUGGUUCUUAUUAUGUUAUUUAUGGAAAGUCGAGAGUUUACCAAAUAGGGAGAGUUUCUCAUCGCCCAAGUUUCAAUUGGACAGAAACUUGGAAUCAUGCAACUUGGUUGCACGAUGAAUGAGAAAUUUCAUAUUUGGAAAUUAGACUAAUUCAUUGACAAAGUGUCAAGUGAAGGACUAGGAGAUCGAGUACACAAAGUUGCGUGUUGAUCAAGUCCACCAUAAGAGUAACAAAGAUAUUCGUCAUGAUUUACUAAAGGUUUAGUAAAUAUGAUUAUACUUACAAGAUUAAGUGUAAUUCUGAAUUGAUUGAAAAAGUUUAAAUCAAUAGCAGAACGAAUAAGAAGAAUCAAGUAGGCAGAAAGAUAAAAGUUUCUCCAUUCUAAGAAGAAGGGAGAGUACCUUUUAUGCUUUAUGAUAGGUCUUAAUGAUUAAGAACCAUAUCUCAAUUGAUCCUCUAAGUGAGUCUUAGUACAAUUGUAUGUCUAAGAAGAGGAAUCAAGAAUUGAAGAAAUGGUUAAAUCAAGAAGUCAAUCAUACUUCGUUCCAAAACAAGUCUUAGAGUUAAGAUUGUGACAUUGAGUGAAAAGUAUUAAGAAGGUUUAUAACAUUCAUCAAAUGUGGAAAGUUGUGAUGUCUUGGAUAAGACAAAGACCAACUAGGACCAAUUUAUGAAGUGUUUUGAUAAAAGCUACACUAACUCUUGAAUAUUUGUUUGUCAAGAAAUGUUUAUUGACAAGAGAAUCUUAUAUGUCAAGGAGUCAGUGGGAGUCUUAAUGGUCUUGAAAGGUUUCAAGAACAAAUCAAAUAAACCUUAUCGAUCAUCACUAGCACACGAGUUGAGGUUUACAACCUAUCGUGUUGACAUUAUUUUGUUUCUGUGCCAAUCCAAUCGAGUUAAUUAUGCAUGUGAGUUCUAUGAGUUCUCAUUUUGAACGCAUAAAAGGCAAAGCACCUUAAUCAAUGAAAGGUACAUUGAUAGGAAAGGGUGAGCUGCUUAACUACUUGGAAGACAUGGUGGGCAGCUGUGCUACCAUAAGGCAAGAAAUCAAGAUUAAGAAAGUUCGGUCCAUAUGAGUUUGAAUUUGUCGUAAACUUUGGUUUUAACAAAUUCACAUGGAUAGGAACACAUACACCGUUUAAAUCUAAGUGUCAUAAGAUUUCCUCCUUCAUGAAAAUGAUUGUGAGGAAAUGCUUUCACUAAGAAAGAUUUUAAGAAGAUAGUGAUUGUAAAAUUGCAUUCUCGAAUUCGAUUAUGGUUACGGUAUCCCUUUCCAUAAUUUGAAUUGUGAGGUUUGGCAAUUAGUCUUAAUUGUUUAGACACACAUAUGAACUAUCGAAGGCAAAGGUGUAUAAGUUCAAGAAGCCUUGAUAAAAGAUUAUCAAAGCACUAAGUAUUAGAAACAUGAACUUAAGAAAUUCAAUAAGUAUUGUUUUUCUGAAAGUUAAGAUGUUUAUGAAUACAUGUCGAAGCUAGUGGGAGCAUAAGUGUUAUGUUUUAUAAUAAUCAUCAUGAUAGUGGGAGCAUAAAUGUUAUGAUUGUAUGAUUAUUAAGGCACGUAUUGCAAGUUGGCAAUAUUAAUUAUAGAAAACAAGAGUUAUACCUUGCAAAGUCGUAAGGGUUGUAAAGUUGUUUUGCUAUAAUUAAGGGAGAGAAUAUUAUGCUUCAUUUCAAAUCUAAAGGAUUAGGUUGAGAAAUGUUAAUAAAUUUAGUCAAAGGUACAUAGUGUGUUCUUAAAAUUUCGAUUAUGAUUACGGCAUCCCUCUUCACAAUUCGAAUUUUGAGAACAUAGCAAAUAAAACAUUAUGCGUCGUGUCCCAUACGCUUCGGGUAUAGGAUCGAUUGCAAAUGCUUUAAUGUUUGACCAUUCUAAAAUUUUCCAAAUGUCGAGCGCAUUUAGAGGGAAAAGGGACUAGAAUUGGUUUUGACUAAAAUAAUUAAACAACUAUCAAAGGACAAUCCAAAGUUCGACGAGGAUUGGUCGCUUGUGAGUAGUUGGAAGCAUGGUAUUGGAUGGACCAUAUCGACAUUAUUAUGAAUAGAAAAGAUUCUAUUAAGAAUGAGUUGUCAUAUGGAAAUUAUGGAAAUGUUUCCAUAUUGGAUGGACCAUAUCGACAUCAUUACGAAUAGAUAAGAUUCUAUUAAGAAUGAGUUGUCAUAUGGAAAAUAUGGAAGCGUGUCCAUAUUGGGAAUUGAAUAUUGAAAAUCUAUGUCUAGAUUAGAAACUUUUAUGCAAAAGGAUGUUCAAAGGAAUGUACUUUGAGUGAGAGACAUCAUAUCUAAGGAAUUGUCUUGUAACAAUCUCCGAUAGAGGACUUUGUAAUAUCAUUGGCAAUAGUCUUUGUGACUUUGGUGCAGUGACAUUACGAAAGGAUCAUUGCAUAGAAUGUUAGAAUCUAGCAUAUUCUAUAAGUAGCAAGAAUUUGAUAUUCUUUCACUUAUGAAAAAGGGAUUUGGAGUUGUGAAAUGAGAAGGAUUGGAAAUGUGUUCAAUGUGAUCUAUUUCACAAAGUAAGAACCAUAGGUAAACAUUGUGUGCAUGCUAGGAGCAUGGGACAAGUGUUGGAAUUCAAGUAAGAAGUUGAUUACCCGAAACGACAAAUAAUGAGUAAUCAAUAUGGUGAUAAAUAAAAGGUGUUUUAUUUAUACUCAAAGGUUUGAGGCCAUAUGGGAUUAGUAUUAUUCUUGUGUUUCACAUUUGCAUGUUUUGACUUCCAGAAUAAUUGAAUUUAUUAAGAAUAAUCGAAUUAUUCGAACGGGCCACAGUCGUUCAUAUGUUGGAAGUAGAUAUGAAUGAAGACUGUCGUGAAUUGGUGUGUGGAUUGUCUAAAAGAGUAUUAGACAUAAGCAAAUGUUUGCUGCAACGUUCAUGAGUGCUUAUGAAUAUGAUUUGAGCAUUGGAUUAAACCCACGCUCACUUGGAUCACUCCAUGAAUUGUAUCACGAGUGAUUGGUGAGACGAUAACAUCUUAUAUUCUUGAAACCGAGAUGUGUGAGUUGUAUCUUGCAAAUCGGUUGCACAUUGAUAAUAUGUAAACGCACUAGUAACUUGGUGUUAUAAAACAUAUUGUUGUGUGUGAUUCGGUGAGUGAGUGCAAGCAAGCAUUGUAUCAAAGUUUAUCCGUUCCUUUUAUCCAAAGUAGGAUAAAAGCGAUAUCUUUGGGCCCCUCGAUGAUUUAGUGAUGACAAACGUAAAUGCUCGGCCGGGCUAGGGCUAAUUUGAUUUGUUCAAUUAGUCAGUCGUCAUAAAUCGGGAAUCGAGAUAUAGUACAAAGAGAAUGAUUUGAAAUCAUAUCUCAUAUGAUAUCUAGAAUGGAGGAAUAUAUGAUCCCUUAUCUAAAGGACACGCGUAUCUGAUAGGAUCAGAGUUGACAGCGGCUUUGGAAAGCUACGAUUGCAGAUCAGGAUCUGAAGUCAUACGCAUAAUAGUUAUUAGACUUAUCCAAGUGGGAGACUGUUGGAUUAGUGUCUAAGUCCAUAACUAUUUUGGUAUGUACUUGACCCGAUGGUGCAUGGUCCUUUUGGGUUGCCUUCACCAAAGCAACUUGAUAGGAUGAAUUAUGGAGAGAAAGGAUUAAAUAUGAUUUAUUAAUAUAUUAUGAGAAUAAUAUAUUAAAGGAGAAAUCAUAUUGUUUAAUUAAUAUUAGUCAAGAAUUAAUUGGUAAUUAGUUUUGUGACUAAAAGAGAUUAAUUAAACUUAAGGGACUGGAAUUGUAAUUAUAAGAUAAUUGCAAUAUGGGCUAUGGAUUGUCUUAAAUUAAGGAGUGGACGAAUUCUAUGGGAAACCCAUGGGGAAAUCAUCCAAGGCCUUAAUUAAAGGAGUCCAUGGGUUGCUUAGGGCUUAAGCAUCCAAAUUAGGUUUCCUUGUUAGAUAACCCUAAUAACCUCCUAUAUAUAUGGAUCCCUUAUGACCCAAAAACGUGGCUAAGCAUUCCUCUAGGGUUUCACAUGUUUUUGGGCAGCCUCCAUCCUCUCUCCUCUUCAUCCUCUUGCUUAUGGUGUUUGUGAACCAUUAGAGGAGUGACAUUUGUGACUCUAAGCUUUCUAAAGUCAAUACAAGGAGAUUUGGGAUUGUUAUUGCUACAUAACAAUAAAGGUAAUAUCUUAAACCCAUUCUUAUGUUAAUAUGAUUACUUAAAUGCUAG